UUUUAUUAAUGUUGGGUGUAUGUCUUUUAUCUAAGAAUUCUGACUAACGAAACCAUGAAUGCAGGCUGUAUAAUAAGAGAUUAACAAACGGAGACAUCUGAACUGUAACAAUCUUCACAUCACAUUUAUUUUGACAGUAUCUGAACCGCAACGAUCUUUACAUCACAUUAUUGCAAAAUCGAAGAUAAUAUUUCCGGUUUGGUUCCCGCGCGCAAACUCCAAUAGAUUCCUCUCGGUCGUGACUCGGUGGCUUUAUGCAUCUCUAUGGCAAGGAACAAUGGUUGUUAGGAUCGCUAGAUUUUGGACACCCGUUGGGGCCCUUCUCCAACUGAGACAAUACGCGUCCACGCCAAUGUGUCGGCAAGGGCAGCGCGAUGUCGACGGAACCACCGGCGGAGGGUUCCCCGGCGUGCACUUGAUCCCCUUGCAACGGCCUCGCAGAUGCCCGGGUCCAUGGGUCAGACAUAGCCACCAGAACCAAGAGCAUGGCCACUGCAAGCUUCCCGGUCAUCGUGGACCUGUUCGAACUUCUAAGGCCGCGGUGUUGCUUAUCUUAACUGGGAGCUAAUAGAUCGAUCUAUCAAACUAGUUAGGCUUUUGAUUGCUGUGUAUGCGAGCUAUGGUCUU
Molecule: long non-coding RNA, 627 nt
Filed under: Hordeum vulgare
Lineage: Eukaryota; Viridiplantae; Streptophyta; Magnoliopsida; Poales; Poaceae
Description: long non-coding RNA (HVUL_LNC016789)
Source: RNAcentral